AGCCCGGAAAUUCCCGGGGGGAGGUGAGUUAAUCAGAUCCCUUCCCUCUUCCUCCCACAUACGGAUACAAAUUCUCUCAAGUUUUGCCCCUUUUCUCUCUCAGUAUCAUACGUGGCUAUAAAAUCCAGGGUGAUUCCCCCCAAAUGAUCAGCUCUCUAGUCUCCCCCGAUUUCCCCCUGUUCUCUCCAUGCUUCUCAAAUGUCAAUUUUAAAUCUUCUCAGCUGUGGGGGGCUACCCCACCCAUUUUACCUUCAGCGAUUUGUCCUUAUUUAGGUGGGAAAUUAUUCCCCAAAGCAUGGCUGCCCCUGGAAUGGGGAUGGGAUGAGAUACAGGGAAGGGAGGAGCAAGUGUCCCCCAUGGGGACUGCCCAGACCUCGGUUUCCCAAUCCCACUUGCUGCCCCCAAACUAUCAACACAGUUGCCCACGGCCAUCAGUUGCCAGUCACCUGCCCAUCCCCCACUGUUGCCCCCUUCCCUCACCCAGGGAGCCUUCUGGCUCCCCCUCCCUUGCCCUCUUAAAUCAGCUCCUCAAAGGGCUCCCUGCUGCCCAUGUGAAUGGUGGCAGUGGGGGGAACCAUCACUUUCUGUAUAUGUUUUGGAGAGUCAUAUAAAAUCCAGUCAAGCAAUCCCCUCAGAUAUCAUAAUAAUAUCUAAUAAUAACAGCAAUAUAAAAUCCCCUCAGAUCUUGGUGCUUCUCUCUCAUGUUAUCAAUUGCGUAGUUUGGGACACGUUUUCUCUGCAAAUCUCAAAGAUUGAUAUAAAAUACCCUAAACCAGGGGUCAACCCACUGCCGCUCUGGAGUUCCAUCCACUGGCCCCUGCCAGGCGGGGUCCCGGCCACUGGCCCGCUCAGCCCGCUGCUGGUCUGGGGUUCCGUCCAUCCUGGAGGUUGCAGGGGGUUAAAUUGCCCAGUGAUCAUCUUGCCCCUCUCCUUUGAGAAUCAUUUGUUCCCCCCUUUAUCUCUGUUAAAAUGUUUGCCGAUGAAAGAGAACAUCCACAUCUUUAAUACACAUCAAAGCCAGAGGCCUCCCCCUGUUUGGGGGAUCAGUGGUUCCCAGCUGGUUACAGGAGAGUUGGCUGGACCCUUUUCUUUUCUCCAACUGGCACAGGAUGAGGAUGUCGCUCUGAGUGCAGCGUGGGUCCAGAAGUAUCCCAAACCCCAUGACAAAUGGUCUCUGUGCAGGGUUGCUUCUCACAGUGCUAAGAUGUAGCCACGUCUGGGGUGGAUCCAUGGUGGCCAUUAUUUGCUAGGGACAAGGCAUGGAAAUUUCUUACCUAUUUUGCCCCUCCAGGCCUUCCAUUCCCCUGUUAAAGAAGCAUCCCGCAGGGCUCCCUCUGCCUAUGUGACUGGCCAGCAGGGGGUGGUGAUAACUUUCUAUCCACUCAUCAGACACUGUGAGGUAACAUUGUUGCUGGGGGGGAGGUAGUGUCUGUGUGAGGAGAUUGCAACUGGAGCUGAAGGGGCAUUGUGGUAGAGGGAGGCCUCUGGGUGGCUGGGCAGGGGGUACUCUAGUUAGGUUGAUGGGUUCUGGAGGUUUAGGAUUUCGGGGGUAGUUCCGAUGUGCUAGCGCCCUAGGGCAGCCCUGGACCCUGUUAAUACUAAAUUCUGAGACUCCAGGUAACUGAAAGAGACCUCAGGGAAAGUGUUGGGAUCUGGCAUUAUAGUGACUGCACAAACAGCCCCCCCUCAUUUCUCCUCCCAUUAGCAAUUGACAGAUCCAGCCAUGGGAGAGCAAAGAACCCAGGAAUGGGACUGUCCCAGCCCGAUGUUAUACUUAGAAAAUAAAAACCAGCAGGAUCUUAUUUAGGGGAUAAGGCAAUACGCCCCGUUUAUUGUGAAUACAGAAAGAAUUAAAGUAAGCAAUCAGUUAUAGCUGUAACAGUUCAUUCUCUCACACAUUCAUUCACUCUUGCACACAGAGUUCUGCAAGGUUGUUAUAGUUACCAUCUUGGAGGUUGCUCAUGCCAAGUCACUGGCCAGGUGGCCAAGACACGAGGAGGGAGCAGAGCCUUGUCAGAUGCGCAUCUGAUGUUCCUGGAGACAGGCUGCAGAAUGACGUCCAUGUUUCGCUCCAGCUCAUCCCGUCCUCCCAUGGGACAUGGGAGAGAAAUGGUUGCAGAGGAGCCCGUUCAGGGGCUGGUGACCUUCGAGGAGGUGGCUGUGUAUUUCACGAACCAAGAGUGGGCUCUGC
Long non-coding RNA from Trachemys scripta elegans, 2191 nucleotides. RefSeq lists it as uncharacterized. The transcript has 3 exons. The record is from RefSeq and is a predicted model, not a curated record. NCBI's taxonomy places the organism in Eukaryota, Metazoa, Chordata, Testudines, Emydidae.